This 301-nucleotide ribosomal RNA is filed under the name uncultured bacterium. RNAcentral describes it as "partial 16S ribosomal RNA". It matches the Rfam family "Bacterial small subunit ribosomal RNA", at positions 509 to 807 of the family's 1533-position model. The record is from RNAcentral.
CAGUAGCCGCGGUAAUACGUAGGUGGCAAGCGUUGUCCGGAAUUAUUGGGCGUAAAGGGCUCGCAGGCGGUUUCUUAAGUCUGAUGUGAAAGCCCCCGGCUCAACCGGGGAGGGUCAUUGGAAACUGGGAAACUUGAGUGCAGAAGAGGAGAGUGGAAUUCCACGUGUAGCGGUGAAAUGCGUAGAGAUGUGGAGGAACACCAGUGGCGAAGGCGACUCUCUGGUCUGUAACUGACGCUGAGGAGCGAAAGCGUGGGGAGCAAACAGGAUUAGAGACCCCAGUAGUCCCUGUCUCUUAUAC